AUAUUGUCCUGUCACAGCAGU
RNAcentral lists this microRNA (21 nucleotides) under Bombyx mori (domestic silkworm). Its description in RNAcentral is "bmo-miR-1000". RNAcentral also lists the same sequence under 7 other names. Lineage: Eukaryota; Metazoa; Arthropoda; Insecta; Lepidoptera; Bombycidae. The record is from miRBase by way of RNAcentral.